UAGGGAAUCUUCCACAAUGGACGCAAGUCUGAUGGAGCAACGCCGCGUGAGUGAAGAAGGUCUUCGGAUCGUAAAGCUCUGUUGUUGGUGAAGAAGGAUAGAGGCAGUAACUGGUCUUUAUUUGACGGUAAUCAACCAGAAAGUCACGGCUAACUACGUGCCAGCAGCCGCGGUAAUACGUAGGUGGCAAGCGUUGUCCGGAUUUAUUGGGCGUAAAGCGAGCGCAGGCGGAAUGAUAAGUCUGAUGUGAAAGCCCACGGCUCAACCGUGGAACUGCAUCGGAAACUGUCAUUCUUGAGUGCAGAAGAGGAGAGUGGAACUCCAUGUGUAGCGGUGGAACGCGUAGAUAUAUGGAAGAACACCAGUGGCGAAGGCGGCUCUCUGGUCUGCAACUGACGCUAAGGCUCGAAAGCAUGGGUAGCGAACAGGAUUAGAUACCCUUGGUAGUCCAUGCCGUAAACGA
Molecule: ribosomal RNA, 463 nt
Filed under: uncultured bacterium
Lineage: Bacteria
Description: partial 16S ribosomal RNA
Rfam family: Bacterial small subunit ribosomal RNA
Source: RNAcentral